Long non-coding RNA from Branchiostoma floridae (Florida lancelet), 401 nucleotides. RefSeq lists it as uncharacterized. The transcript has 3 exons. Lineage: Eukaryota; Metazoa; Chordata; Leptocardii; Amphioxiformes; Branchiostomatidae. The record is from RefSeq and is a predicted model, not a curated record.
UUGUUACUUGGCGAGAAUAUGAUCUUACAGACGGCUCUUGUCCUUUUACUGGUGUUCUUGGUGACUUCAUGGUUCUUCAGCAGACCUAAGAACCUUCCACCCGGUCCAAGAGGAUUUCCUGUCGUCGGUAAUAUCUUCUCUCUUGCAAUGGGCCCGGCUUUCUGACAAUGACCGAAUGGGCGAAAACGUACGGACCAGUCUACCGGAUACAGCUGGGGAAGGAAACGAUGAUUGUGCUUUCCGGAUAUGACGUCAUAUACGAGGCUCUGGUGAAGAGAGCAGACGAUUUUUCUAGCAGAUCAUCUAGCCCCAUAGUCAAACUUACCAACCCAAAGAAGCUAGGUAUCAUCUGGGCUCCUUUCGGUACUCCAUGGAAAGAGCACCGCAAAUUUACUCUGAUG